UCUCUCUAUAUCUUCUAGAAAGACCUGAACCUUCGAGUUCUACAUAACCUCCGUUUCUCUUCGUUACGCCCAGAAGUUACGAACCAGACGAGCGGUUUGAUCCGAAAUUCUCCAUUGAAUUGAGCUCCUGAAGGUCUUAUCUGUUCUCCUGCCGCUGAUCAUCAUCAAUCAGUUGCCGUCGAUCCACCAGGAAAAGGAAAAAUGAGCAGAAGCAGCCGUUCAAGCCGCACUAUUUAUGUUGGCAAUCUUCCUGGUGAUAUCCGGAUGAGAGAAGUGGAGGAUCUGUUUUACAAGUAUGGAACAAUUGUGGACAUUGAUUUGAAGGUCCCUCCCAGACCCCCAGGAUAUGCUUUUGUGGAGUUUGAGGACCCUCGUGAUGCUGAAGAUGCAAUUCGAGGACGUGAUGGGUGCAAGUUCGAUGGAUAUCGCUUACGAGUUGAACUUGCACAUGGGGGGCGAGGAUAUUCGUCCUCUGACCGAUAUGGCAGCUAUAGUAGUGGAAGUAGCCGAAGUGGAGCUUCUAGGCACUCUGAUUAUCGUGUCUUGGUCACUGGAUUGCCUUCUUCUGCAUCUUGGCAAGAUCUGAAGGACCACAUGCGGCGUGCUGGGGAUGUCUGUUUUUCUGAAGUGUUUCGUGAUCGUGAUGGUGUCUCAGGAAUAGUAGAUUACACAAACUAUGAUGACAUGAAAUAUGCAAUCAGGAAACUAGAUGACUCUCUCUUCAGGAAUGCUUUCAGUCGGGCAUAUAUUCGGGUUCGAGAGUAUGAUUCAAGGAGGAGCUACUCUAGGAGUCCUAGUCGUAGCCCUUACUAUUCAAGAAGCCGCAGUCCAAGCUAUAGCCGCAGCUACAGUAAUCGGAGUAGAAGCAAGUCCCCCAGGAGAAAAUAUUCAGGGCGUUCUCCAUCAGUUUCUCCAGUGAGGUCUGUUUCCUCUAGAUCCCGCUCUGGAUCAUAUCCACGCUCUUACUCAAGAUUCGGCGUUUUGCAGCGUCAUGAAGCACCUUGAUGGGAAGUGGUGCAACUCUGUAAGUUGUUGAGGUAAAAGCAGUUGUUGAGGUAAAAGCUCUUAUGUGGUGGGUCCCUUGCGAAAAAAUUGCCAAAAAUUAGUUAUACUAAAUACGCGAAGCUCAGGACCCUGAAUCUUAAGGGCUGCGAAUAUUUAUUCAGGGAAUAAGGGGUAUUUAAAUACGCAUUGGGUUACAACCUGCCAGCAAAGAAGUCGUUUCAAUGGGAUAUCAUGGAUCUCUUGUAGGUUAUGUAGCCUACCACUGAUAGAGGAUGAUUUGGCAGGUCUCUGUUGGCUGUUUAAAGUUACGAGAUGACUUGGCACUGAGACUUGGGGUGGAGGUUUAAAUAUUAGGUCACAAACAUCUAAAAUGUGCAUUAACAAUUGGAAAUUUUUUUUUGCAGAUCUCCUUCAAGGUCAAGAUCCCCACUGACUCCUCCUCGGAGCAAAUGGGCAGCUGACAGCCCACGUGACCGUAGUGUUAGUAGGAGCCCGAGGAGGAGCUUAUCUCGGUCCCUCUCACCUUCUGUGAGGUCAGAGGACUCGAGGGAUCGCUACUGAGUGCUGCAUUCUGAAGAGCACUAGAUUGCUCUGAAGAAUCAGCUGAUUAUGCUCGAGAUGCAGUGAUAAUUGGGUUCGGAUGCAGUGAUAAUUGGUGGUUUUGACUUGAGCUCGAGCUCAGAUCAAUUUACUUUGUCUAGUUUGGAGGUAUUAUCAGGGGGACAUGAUAUUUAUCGGUGUAUACCUGCAUCAAUAAUUAGGAGUCCUAUUUAAUACCUUUUAACUUCUACGAUGGCUUACAUUUUCCUUCCGCAUGGGGAGAUAUGAUGAUUGACUUGAUAAUAUGAUCGUUGUGUGCUUUCAGUGGACCGAUAA
Punica granatum (pomegranate) is the source of this 1881-nucleotide non-coding RNA. The record is from RefSeq and is a predicted model, not a curated record. NCBI's taxonomy places the organism in Eukaryota, Viridiplantae, Streptophyta, Magnoliopsida, Myrtales, Lythraceae.